This 555-nucleotide ribosomal RNA is filed under the name Papiliotrema flavescens. RNAcentral's name for it is "partial large subunit ribosomal RNA". It matches the Rfam family "Eukaryotic large subunit ribosomal RNA", at positions 55 to 623 of the family's 3401-position model. Lineage: Eukaryota; Fungi; Basidiomycota; Tremellomycetes; Tremellales; Rhynchogastremaceae. The record is from RNAcentral.
GGAAAAGAAACUAACAAGGAUUCCCCUAGUAACGGCGAGUGAACCGGGAAGAGCUCAAAUUUGAAAUCUGGCGUGCUCAGUGCGUCCGAGUUGUAAUCUAUAGAGUCGUUUUCCGUGCCGGACUGUGUCCAAGUCCCUUGGAACAGGGUAUCAAAGAGGGUGAUAAUCCCGUACUUGACACAAUGACCGGUGCUCUGUGAUACGUCUUCUACGAGUCGAGUUGUUUGGGAAUGCAGCUCAAAAUGGGUGGUGAGUUCCAUCUAAAGCUAAAUAUUGGCGAGAGACCGAUAGCGAACAAGUACCGUGAGGGAAAGAUGAAAAGCACUUUGGAAAGAGAGUUAAACAGUACGUGAAAUUGUUAAAAGGGAAACGAUUGAAGUCAGUCGUGACUGAGAGGCUCAGCCGGUUCUGCCGGUGUAUUCCCCUCAGUCGGGUCAACAUCAGUUUUGUUCGGUGGAUAAGGGCAGUUGGAAGGUGGCACCCUCGGGUGUGUUAUAGCCAGCUGUCGCAUACAUCGGAUGAGACUGAGGAAUGCAGCUCGCCUUUAUGGCCGGG